Molecule: ribosomal RNA, 371 nt
Filed under: uncultured bacterium
Lineage: Bacteria
Description: partial 16S ribosomal RNA
Rfam family: Bacterial small subunit ribosomal RNA
Source: RNAcentral
CCUACGGGAGGCAGCAGUAGGGAAGCUUCGGCAAUGGACGAAAGUCUGACCGAGCAACGCCGCGUGAGUGAAGAAGGUUUUCGGAACGUAAAACUCUGUUGGUAGAGAAGAACGUUGGUGAGAGUGGAAAGCUCAGCAAGUGACGGUAACUACCCAGAAAGGGAGGGCUAAAGACGUGCCAGCAGCCGCGGUAAUACGUAGGUCCCGAGCGUUGUCCGGAUUUAUUGGGCGUAAAGCGAGCGCAGGUUGUUUAUUAAGUCUGGUGUAAAAGGCAGUGGCUCAACCAUUGUAUGCCUUGGAAACUGGUAGACUUGAGUGCAGGCGAGGCGAUUGGAAUUCCAUUUGUAGCGGUGACAUGCGUCGAUAUCUGG